AGUGGCGCACGGGUGAGUAACACGUAGGUAAUCUACCUUUGGAUGGGGAAUAACAACCGGAAACGGUUGCUAAUACCGCAUAAUGCAGCGGCACCUAAUGGUGACAGUUGUUAAAGCGGGGGAUCGUAAGACCUCGCGUCUGAAGAGGAGCCUGCGGCAGAUUAGCUAGUUGGUAGGGUAACGGCUUACCAAGGCGAUGAUCUGUAGCCGGCCUGAGAGGGCGGUCGGCCACACUGACACUGACAUACGGGUCAGACUCCUACGGGAGGCAGCAGUCGGGAAUUUUGGGCAAUGGGCGAAAGCCUGACCCAGCAACGCCGCGUGAAGGAUGAAAUCCCUCGGGAUGUAAACUUCGCAAGAACGGGAAGAAUAAGUAAGGGUUAAUAUCUCUUACGAUGACGGUACUGUUUGUAAGCUCCGGCUAACUCCGUGCCAGCAGCCGCGGUAAUACGGGGGGAGCAAGCGUUGUUCGGAUUUACUGGGCGUAAAGGGCGCGUAGGCGGCCUCUGCAAGUCGACUGUGAAAUCUCCGGGCUUAACCCGGAAAGGUCAGCCGAUACUGCAGGGCUAGAGUGCAGAAGGGGCAACUGGAAUUCUCGGUGUAGCGGUGAAAUGCGUAGAUAUCGAGAGGAACACCUGCGGCGAAGGCGGGUUGCUGGGCUGACACUGACGCUGAGGCGCGAAAGCUAGGGGAGCGAACGGGAUUAGAUACCCCGGUAGUCCUAGCCUU
Molecule: ribosomal RNA, 729 nt
Filed under: uncultured Blastocatellales bacterium
Lineage: Bacteria; Pseudomonadati; Acidobacteriota; Blastocatellia; Blastocatellales
Description: bacterial SSU rRNA
Rfam family: Bacterial small subunit ribosomal RNA
Source: RNAcentral